GAUGAACGCUGGCGGCACGCCUAACACAUGCAGGUCGAACGGAACGAAGAAGUGCUUGCACUUCUGAAGUUUAGUGGCGGACGGGUGAGUAACACGUGAGCAACCUGCCUUUCAGAGGGGAAUAACGUUUGGAAACGAACGCUAAUACCGCACAAUAUAAUUUUAUGGCAUCAUAGAAUUAUCAAAGAUUUAUCGCUGAAAGAUGGGCUCGCGUCUGAUUAGAUAGUUGGUGAGGUAAUGGCUCACCAAGUCGACGAUCAGUAGCCGGACUGAGAGGUUGAACGGCCAUAUUGGGACUGAGACACGGCCCAGACUCCUACGGGAGGCAGCAGUGGGGGAUAUUGCACAAUGGGGGAACCCUGAUGCAGCGAUGCCGCGUGAGGGAAGAAGGUUUUCGGAUUGUAAACCUCUGUCUUUAGGGAAAGAAAAAUGACGGUACCUAAGGAGGAAGCCACGGCUAACUAUGUGCCAGCCGCCGCUGUAAC
This 485-nucleotide ribosomal RNA is filed under the name uncultured Oscillospiraceae bacterium. RNAcentral describes it as "bacterial SSU rRNA". It matches the Rfam family "Bacterial small subunit ribosomal RNA", at positions 28 to 524 of the family's 1533-position model. Lineage: Bacteria; Bacillati; Bacillota; Clostridia; Eubacteriales; Oscillospiraceae. The record is from RNAcentral.